This 630-nucleotide long non-coding RNA is filed under the name Marmota monax (woodchuck). The record is from RNAcentral. Lineage: Eukaryota; Metazoa; Chordata; Mammalia; Rodentia; Sciuridae.
GUGACAGAGCCCUUCAGGACAGGACAUUAGGGCUGAGAAGCCCAGCUGAAGCUGAGUGUCAUCUAGCCAGGGCUCUUGUGCCAGGGACAGGCUGCUGUGCUUGAUCCUGGGUUUGCUGGUGCUCAAGUCUUUGCCCCCCAGGGGAUCAGAGGUGAGUGGUGCAAGCAGUGCUGGGAAGGCUGCUGCCACCCGGUGGUGCCACCAGAGCCUGCCUGGGCUCCAGCUGUGAAGUGAGGUUCCAGGGGUGGGAGGUGAGGGACACAGAAUAGCUAGACUUGGGAAGGUUUUGCAAGAAAAUCAUAGUCUAGUGUUGAUGUGGCAGUUACUGAUUUCGGCAGGAGGAAGCAUAAUGCUUGUGGAGCCUCCAGACCUGCCAGGUGCGGACCUUCCCCUGGCCACGUCAGGUCUACAGGGCCCAUGAGUCCGGUGAGCGGACUGCUGCAAUCUCAAAAAUGGAUAAUCCCAAACCCUGAGCACCAGCUUCUUCCUCAAUUAUUUACAAGGAACACGAUGUGGUACAAAGAAAUCUAAUUCAUAAUGUCUCUUUAAUGCCUUUGUAACACAAUAUUCACAAUAUUCCCUUCUAAUCUCAGCAGAUGACAAGUUGCCACUAUUGAAUUUCCAUUAAUA